Gadus chalcogrammus (walleye pollock) is the source of this 7632-nucleotide long non-coding RNA. RefSeq lists it as uncharacterized. The transcript has 5 exons. The record is from RefSeq and is a predicted model, not a curated record. Lineage: Eukaryota; Metazoa; Chordata; Actinopteri; Gadiformes; Gadidae.
AGUUUCAAAACGAAUGCGCGACAGAACGCUGCCAAUAUUCACGUGACUCAAAGCUUGCGCCUGCAUGGUCAAAUCUCUGAAAAGUCAGUUCUGAAAAAAGACAUUGCAAUGGCGUAAACGUACACCUUUACAUGUUUUUAACACCUGUUCCCAUUUACAAGGUUUCAAAACCGGGAAACAAUGAAAUACACUGUUCGAACAGUGCCAGAUUUGAAACUCUGCAAAUGCGCAGGUGAUAUUGUUAGAACUUUGAAAAUGUGUUGGUGAAAAUUAUGAAGAUAAAAUAGAACGCAAAAUCAUGUUUACAGAUGUUUGAAUUUUAGUUUGAAUUUAUAAGCCUUUGAAACUUUUUUUUUCAGGUUGGAAUUAUGGCAGGAAACUGGCUCCAUAGCAUUGCGCUCUCGAAAUGCAUUUUGGGUCCGUCCGUUCAGACCUGUCCAUCCAUGGUUCAGAGUCGCACUCGCGACGCUCAUCCGUCGAAGGACGCAUGAUGUGUGGAACAAGCGCACAUAGGCCUACCUGAUCGCGUUCAUUUGUUCGCCUCCCUCCACCUCCCUCUCUCUCCGGUGCAUAUUUAAGCCACUUCUUCAGUGUCCCUGAAAAAACAACAUGGGUGGUCCCUGGCAGCUGUUUUUGGAGUGCAGCUGAAAGAAAGAAAGAAAGAAAGAAGGAAAGAAACCCGGUCAAGAAUUACCAACAUUGCGACGGUAAGCUGUAACAUGGCCAUGGCCACCAUGGCCAUUUUUUGCAUAGUGCACCAGGCAAAAAGUCAGCAAUUUGUUUCCUAACCACAGACCCUUAACGCUGGUGCGCAGUGCAGUGGUUUCACUGUCCUCUCGGUCUCAUUUUACUGCACUAUGGGUUACCACAUCGACUCCAUCCCAGUUACUUCUUUGAUUACAGAAUGCAUGCAUGCAGGGUUAAAUUGGUAGGCUACGGGCAUGCAUGCCCGUAGCCCGACAUACCACGAGUAGCCAAGGCUAGCGGAGUAGCGCGUUGUUACAUUCUUAUGUGAAUGUAGGCUUUCGGUGCAAGAUAGCUAGAUAGUAAAAGUAAAAUAACGUCAAACUAAAGUGUUCUAGUGCUGACGGAUAGUCCAAGAGUGCAGUGCAGAAUAUUGUCAGUGUUAAAAGCAUUGCUGCAUCUGGACACAAAACUGAGAUCGCAUAGUAGCCUAUAAAUUGACUUUUUCUGAUUUUACAUGAAAUAAGCAUAGCUCAGAAGACUACCCAUAGGGCAUAUUUAAAAAUCGACUUGCUGUUUUAAAAGCAUUUAUUUUAAUCAGUGGUAUCUGUGUCUAAUGCUUGUGUGUUGUGACUGAGUUUUGACAAACAUACCGAACAGUACAUCACUAAGGACAGUGCUUUUGAAGGCUUCCUUGAAGCCUUUCCCUGCCCAGUUGAAGCGACACGCCAGGUUAUUGGUUAGGCCACUCUGCAACAUCCUUCUUACGGCCUCUUCUGCAGUGUGCCCUCCAAUUAGACUGAAUGUUAAGAUCUGACAAGACAUAAUAAACCAACAAACAAGUGAAACAUAGAUUAUUAUAACAUGUAUAAUUACAAUAUCUCCCAAAAGUGAAUAGGCCUACACCCCUCCCAUUUUUGCAAAUAUUUUAUUGUUUCUUUUCAUAGGAUAACCCUUGGCAUGAAACUUUAUUAUAAGUUAAACUAGUCAUUAUACAUAUUGUAGAGAACUAUAGAUUUAUUGUCCUCAGAUUAUGACUAAAAACACAUCCAUUAACAACUAAACAGCUGGCCACAUAACUGAGUACACUUAAUUAUGAACAUGACCAUUGCGCCCAUAGUGACAAUAAAUCUAUCGUAAUCUACAAACUCUACACUGACUUCUUUAAGUUACAUCAACGUUUUGUGUAUAUGGAGUUAUCCCAUGAGAAGAUACAUUAAAACAUUUGAAAAAAUGGCAUAGGGUUUUGUGAGAUACUGUAUGUACCAAUUUAGGUUAGGUGAACUCCUCACUGUUUCACAUAAUGAGUAAUGCGUUAAUUUUGUUUUGAAAGAUACUUCCUACAAAUACUGAGUAAUGUAGUGGAUGGCUGGAAAGAAGAGGUAUGGUUUUAUUAAUUUACACAUAUACUUUGACUAGCUUUUGGGUAGUGCAGAUUUGUACCUACCAUCUUUUGUUUUUCGCAGGGGGUUUCUCUCAUAACAGCCUCUGCUAAUUGAAACUCCUCCAUGGUCCUCAGAGGCAGCUUGAUGGACGAAGCGGCAGCUUCUGGUGCUACCGGCCUCACCAUCUCUCUCCUAAGCGCCCUCACUUCACUCCCCAGCCCCUCCUACCUGGCCCUACAUCUACAGAUUGUCGUGCUGUUUUCCUUAGGGGGGGUGGUGCCUCGUCAUCAGUGUCCACACCUUAGCAUAGUAAGUGCCAGUUUAAUUUCAGACUAAAUGGGCAGUCAAACAGCCGUUUCUGAAAUAUUUAUAUUUUAAUUUCUAAAAUGUUUCAUUGCUGUUCAGUUUAACUCUAAAGGUCUGCACCUUCAAAAUAGUGUUGCGGCGGGCCCCUAGUGGUCUGGGCUCUUCCAGCUGGCUCCUGCAGGUAGCGUGAGUUUGGCCUUUGGAACAAAGCAAGGACAGUCAUGGCAGUCAGUGGGUAACACCAGAAAUAUUAACAGAGAACAUAUACAUUUAUGCAUUUAGCAGAUGCUUUGAGCUGAAGCGAUUUACAACAAGAGGACUAACAUUUAAGCUACAACACUAUUUUUAACACCUUGCUAAGAGUGCCAAAAAGUGCCACUAGUCACCUGAACACUGUCUGAAGUUUAAGUGCAAUAGAAAGAUGGAAGAGUGCAUUGAAAGUUAAAAAGUGUUAGGACAAGAGUCAUUCUAGGAAGAGCUGAGUUUUCAGGAGCUUUUCGAAGGUAGUGAGGGAUGAUAAGUUGCCUGUGGAUGGUUCAGAGAACUGCCUGCUAUUAGCAGCCACUUUGUCAGUAAAGAAUGAAGCAUAAGGGUCUGCUGUGAGGUUUGUAGCAAGAUGGGAAAGGUUUAGUAUUUGAAAGUAGAGAACCGUUUCCGGGUGUCAGUUGUAUUGUGAAUCUUGUCAUUGUAACAAGAAUUUUUCGCUGCUGUGACAUUGUAAGCAAAAGAUGAUAAUAGUUACUGGUAUUGUGUUAAAUCUGAUGGGUUGUUAGUUUUAUGCCAUUCUCUCUCAGCAGCCCAUGAGGUUAGAGCGCAUCGAUUGAAGGGAGUCGUUUAUCCAAGGAAGGGGCUUAGAGGGUUGGGAGGGUCUGAUGGAUAGCGGGAAUGUGUGGCCCAAUUCACCUCUGGAGAGGAGAACAUUUUUUGUUUUUUACCUUUUUUUCCUUCUGAUAGGGUCUUCAGCCUCUGACUGUAUGUCUGAUGUUAAACACAGUAAGGACUUUUUCAGGUAGUCCUUUGCCUUAACAUAUGUUGCUGAAAGUGAAUGGCAUUCAUUAGUGAAAUUUAGCAAGUUGAAUCUUAUAGAAACGUUUUCAUAUGCAGCAUUUUUCCUUACCACAGCUAACCAAGACCCUCACGUCACCGUGCACGUCCCACGCUGCACCUGGAGGAAGGUGGUGCGCGACUGCCUUCUGGAGGCGGUUAUGAUCGUAAGAACUAGGAGGCCAGAAACAAUUCCAUGACUCCCCUGCCUCCUCCAACCAGCUGCUUGGCACUAUGGUAGUGCUCCUAUCUUUGAAUUCGACGACCUUCCACACCUGUGCCAUCUGUCAAUGAGAAGACAAGGAAUUAGGAUUGGUGAAGAAGCAAGAGCAUCGCAAGAAUUGGCCAAAACUGAACUUUUGAACUCUUAAAAAUGGGUAAACCGUCGAUGUUGAAUUGUAACCGAAUUGUCUGAAGGCAGCUAGGCAAAUGGAUUGAAUUCAAUUUUGAUAAAAUUCCCUUAGCCAAUCCAAAAUGGUGAUAUUCACCACCACCUAAUGCAUGCACAGCUAUUUUCUUUUGUGUGCCAAGAAGUGUCCUGGCAUCUUUAGGCAGCUCAGAGUGGUGUACUCUCAAUAUUGAUAGAAGAGCGGUAACUGCAACAAGAGUAAUGCCAAAAGUUGAUGCCCAUUGCUUUAGUUUAACUUGUAAACUCAUUUCCUCAGGCUCACUUUCAUCAGAGCUGGAUAACCCACUAAAAUCCUCUCUUUCACUGGCAUCACUGUCUGUAGUGUUUUGGUCAGGACUGUUUGCCACUGUUGCCCCACACAGUGCUAGAUCUGGUAAGCUAGGGGGGGCAUUUUCAGCCUGAUUAACUGUACUUAAAUGUAAUUGCUGCAAAAUCUCGUUCUCUGUCUCCCUUGCGUUGGACAAGACUCGCCUCCUUUUACUCCAAUAAGAGGCCAUCUCUGUGUGUAUCGGAUACAAUUUUGAAAUGCAAGUUUGAUACCUUUUCUGCCGUGAGCUUUGAAUGGUCUUCAGUGUCCCAUAAAUAUGCAAAUGAAGAAGAAAAAAAACACAAAGUUAGUUUUGAUGGCAUAGUGUGACAACAAUGAAUAGUUGCAUUUAACCCUUUCACAUGCAAGUGAAGAAUCCCCCUUCUAAUAAUGUAUAGCCUAUUAAGGACCUAUUUCAGGAUAAAUAUACAAAUACAUUCACAUUGAAGUGUAGAAGGUCCUACAGGCAGCUGUAAUAAACUAAGAUAUACUAUUUAUGAGAUGGCUUGCAGUGUGCUUAUCUGACAGGAUUAAAACCGUGCAUUCUGUGUGAAUGUGUAUUUGAAUGUUAACAUUUAAUAACAUGUCGUUUUUAGUUAUGUAAUCAUUUGAAAGUCCCUUCAAGUUGAAAAGUACAUGCAUUCUUAUUAUGGCCACACCUGGCGUACUAGUAAAUCAACUGUGAUCAGAUUGGUUAAAAAAAAAGAGGCUGCGUGUGAUUUCAGUUCCGGUUCAAUGCAUUUGUAAUGAGGGGCCGCACUUCUGUGCAGUGUGCACAUUAGUCGUCGUUGCCAGCAGGCUGCACCCGACAGCCAAGGGAUUUACAUGUGGCAUAGCAAGUCUCUGAGCAGUGUCUCACACUCGAGUCCUGACCGAGGGCCUUGAAACUGGCAUGCCUGUUCAAAACAUCUCCAGGACAACAAGAAGAUGAAGGAGAAUGCGUGCAGUGGGCUGAAUGGAGAAUUCGUGAAUCAAAGGCAACACCAUCAAAUGCAUUAUGAAAUUAAGCACUAUCAGGUUGUCAAGGCUGUAGCUCAGCCAACACAUUGGAUCGGCCCUCCGCAUGGUCCUGUAUACCUGAUUAUUAUUUUUUUUUAACUAUUUAUAUAUGGAAUCUGAAUGCACUCUCCAAGAAAUGCUGCAGUUCUUUGUGCCACAAGAGGCCAAGAAGCUCUACUACAAGAAGUUGAGGCAGAAGAUGAAGAUUAUUACAAAUUAUCCAAGUCAGUUCCUUCCGACCAAGUAAUUUGAUUGGACAAGAGGCAUUCCAGUGCUGAUAUAGAGUAUAACAGCACUGGGUCUUUUAACUAUCCACGUAUCGCUCCGCUUUACGGGUGUUCUCAUAACCGUUAAUGUUAUCAACAAUCUUUUUGUAGCUUAGAUUGCAGCUGAAUUAAGUUGAAUUAAGAAUGGUCGCCAGAAGAGGAACAAGGGAACCUAAUGUAAUGCUAAUGUGUUUGUGUUGCUUGGCAACAGUUCAGUCCAGUUGCGGAUCUAUUUGUGUUGGCGGAGCCAAAUAAAUCAUUAAUGAACCAAAGAAAUCUGAACAUAAUAUGUUGUUAAUUAUUAUUGUUAACUAAUGAUUGGUGCUUGUAGAACUGUUGGAUAAAAGCAAUAUCACUCAGGAGUGAGUGCUGUUGUACUACGGCUGGGAAGAGAAUCACAGCCGUGCUGAUAUUCAGUACAACAGCACUCCCUCUUGUGUGAUAUUGCUUAAUUAUUCUGUUCCAAAAUUCCAUAAAAAGUCUCAUUACUAAGAAAUAUUGAUGUAUAGUUACUUUUGUCAGUUUCAAGUUUUUGUUUUAACACGGGGGUACCAACAAUGUGUAUGAUGUAUGACUACCUUAAAGCAUUUGUCGAUGAUCUCACCCAGCUGCUGAGAGAACCUUCAGAGGUAAACCUCUAAGGUGUGCUCCUUUUAUAAGCGAUGCUCCAGCAUGUGCUUUCUCCAAAACAGUGUGCUAUCCUCUGGUUCAGUCUUUAUCAUCUACAGUUGAUUUAGGUACAAAAAAAGCCCAUUUCACGUAUCCCAUCGAUUAAAUGCACCUCUGCUGUUUGGGGGUAAAUUUUGCCAUCACUAUUUCUUGUUACGGAGAUGAAGACAACUACUUGUCUCUUUCAUGCAUCUCCUUUGUCCACAUCUAUGUUUGGGGAAUGUAAUUUGAAGCCAUUCCGUAAGUGUUUGCUAUGCCUCAUUAUUUAUUUUACUGCAUACUACAUUGGCACACUUGGGAUUUUAUUUUUAUUUUAUUCAAUUUCUUCCCUUCUACAAUGCGGCAGCAUAAUCAUUACUACAGAUUUAUUUCCCCCACUUUAUUCUGUUUUUUGGGCAUUUCCUACCAGUGCAAAGAUGUUUAAAUUAGUCACUGAAAGCAGUGUUCUGAAAUGAUAUCAAAAAUAGUUGUGGCCUGUAUAUGUAAGCAUGGCCGUCACAUAUUUUUUUGUAAAGCUGUACAUGUCUUUAAAGAUAUUGAUGCGGACGUUUCCACAUUUACACUUCUCAGUGCAAAUGGUUUUUUGAAUAAGUUUCUGAAAGUAGUGCUUUGAGAUGUUUGAGAUAAACAUUUAAUGUGUUGGAAAUAUUUUUGGUCGCUGUGUCAUAAUUCAGCUUAAUAUUUAAUACAUUGUUUCUUAUGGCAUAUUAACGAGAAAAUGUCAAACUGGCACUGAAUGUUGAAAAGGUUGCUGACCCCUGGUUACUGUAUUCCCUCUCCCGCUCCAUUACAUGUAUGUUUGUUUAUUUCAAGUUAACUUGUUUUUCUGUGUUAUUACAACCUUGCAACACAUUUCUAUUAAUGUAGUUUGUUUAUUCCUUAACAGUUUUCAAAAAACACAAUCAAAUGGGUACUAAAACCUUAAUCUUUGUCAAGCCGAACUCUUGAGUAAUUAUUUCAAAGAAUAGGGGCGUGGAAAUCAAUAAGGUAAGUGGGCUUUGGGGCUUAUCUUAUGACUAACUUUGGAUCUGAACUAAUGUGAAUCGUGAGUAGAUCUCAUGGUGUUUACAUCGCUUUACUAGGAUUUCUAAAUUGCAGCUUCUGUGUUUUAACCCCUCUCAAAUGCUACUGUUGUAAUGGGGUUUUCUUAACCAGUGAUCUUUAUUGCAAUUGUGAAAGCUGUUUGUGUGAGCUUGCUAAAAGUAUAUAGACCAGUUUUCCUGCCAGAAAUAGUUGUAGCUGCGACAUUCAAUGGCCAUACCUGCAGAUUAUCUACAAGGAUAAGCAUUAAUUGAUCUCAUUACAAAAUGACAAUCGAAAUAUCAGGAAAAUUGCUAAUAUGCGUUACAACCUCAAUUCAACGCCAUUUCGACGUGUGGUAAAUGACGUUGAAAAUUAGCAAGCAAAUCAUCGUUGAAACAACGUAGUAUUUUCGACAUUCUCCGACCGUCGAGAUAACGACUAUCCACCACGUUGAUUCAACGGUGAAUUUUAGUCGUCUGACGGAAACCGACUAUUUUAACCAACAAUCAACCCGUUUUCGACGCCCCAUUGCUGUCUGGG